CACCGCCCGUCACACCAUGGGAGUCAGUUGCUCCAGAAGUGGCCGAGCCAACCGCAAGGAGGCAGGCCCCCAAGGAGUGGCUGGUGACUGGGGUG
RNAcentral lists this ribosomal RNA (95 nucleotides) under uncultured bacterium. RNAcentral's name for it is "partial 16S ribosomal RNA". It matches the Rfam family "Bacterial small subunit ribosomal RNA", at positions 1388 to 1482 of the family's 1533-position model. The record is from RNAcentral.